This 403-nucleotide ribosomal RNA is filed under the name bacterium. RNAcentral describes it as "partial 16S ribosomal RNA". It matches the Rfam family "Bacterial small subunit ribosomal RNA", at positions 355 to 776 of the family's 1533-position model. The record is from RNAcentral.
UGGGGAAUAUUGCACAAUGGGGGAAACCCUGAUGCAGCGACGCCGCGUGAACGAAGAAGGUAUUCGUAUCGUAAAGUUCUGUCCUAUGGGAAGAUAAUGACAGUACCAUAGAAGAAAGCUCCGGCUAAAUACGUGCCAGCAGCCGCGGUAAUACGUAUGGAGCGAGCGUUGUCCGGAAUUAUUGGGCGUAAAGGGUACGCAGGCGGUUUAAUAAGUCGAAUGUUAAAGAUCGGGGCUCAACCCCGUAAAGCAUUGGAAACUGAUAAACUUGAGUAGUGGAGAGGAAAGUGGAAUUUCUAGUGUAGUGGUGAAAUACGUAGAUAUUAGGAGGAAUACCAGUAGCGAAGGCGACUUUCUGGACACAAACUGACGCUGAGGUACGAAAGCGUGGGGAGCAAACAGG